GAGGGUAUAGCUCAGUGGUAGAGUGUGUACCUAGCAUGUACAAGGUCCUGGGUUUAAUCUCCAGGACCCCA
This 71-nucleotide transfer RNA is filed under the name Camelus bactrianus (Bactrian camel). It matches the Rfam family "tRNA". Rfam says of the family: Transfer RNA (tRNA) molecules are approximately 80 nucleotides in length. Their secondary structure includes four short double-helical elements and three loops (D, anti-codon, and T loops). RNAcentral also lists the same sequence under 3 other names. Lineage: Eukaryota; Metazoa; Chordata; Mammalia; Artiodactyla; Camelidae. The record is from Rfam by way of RNAcentral.